This 680-nucleotide ribosomal RNA is filed under the name uncultured bacterium. RNAcentral's name for it is "bacterial SSU rRNA". It matches the Rfam family "Bacterial small subunit ribosomal RNA", at positions 212 to 908 of the family's 1533-position model. The record is from RNAcentral.
AAGGCGCUUCGGGAGGGGCCCGCGUCCGAUUAGCUCGUUGGUGAGGUAACGGCUCACCACGGCGACGAUCGGUAGGUGGUCUGAGAGGACGAUCACCCAGACUGGGACUGAGACACGGCCCAGACUCCUACGGGAGGCAGCAGUCGGGAAUUUUGCGCAAUGGACGAAAGUCUGACGCAGCAACGCCGCGUGAGGGAUGAAUGCCUUCGGGUUGUAAACCUCUUUUGUCAGGGAAGAUAAUGACGGUACCUGGCGAAUAAGUCACGGCUAACUACGUGCCAGCAGCCGCGGUAAUACGUAGGUGACAAGCGUUGUCCGGAUUUACUGGGCGUAAAGAGCGCGCAGGCGGUCGUUCAAGUCGAGUGUGAAAGCCCCCGGCUCAACUGGGGAGGGUCACUCGAUACUGAUCGACUCGAAGGCAGGAGAGGGAAGUGGAAUUCCCGGUGUAGUGGUGAAAUGCGUAGGUAUCGGGAGGAACACCAGUGGCGAAGGCGACUUCCUGGCCUGUUCUUGACGCUGAGGCGCGAAAGCUAGGGGAGCAAACGGGAUUAGAUACCCCGGUAGUCCUAGCCGUAAACGAUGGACACUAGGUGUUGGUGGUAUCAACCCCGCCAGUGCCGAAGCUAACGCAUUAAGUGUCCCGCCUGGGGAGUACGGCCGCAAGGCUAAAACUCAAAGGA